GCUCCAUCAUCAGCCAUCUUCAACUCAGCUCCGGACUCAACCAGGUCUCUCCCAGAACCGGGUCUGAACCAGGUCUGGACCAGGUCUGAACCAGGCCCCGGACUGGCCCUGGGUCUGACCCGCACCUCCGGACCCCCAGACCGACCCGCGCGCGGAGCCGCAGCCGGGAAACAGGUGCCUCAUCCCGGACACAACCAGCGCUUGUGUCCGCUCUCUGACGCGGAGCUCCGGAGCUGACACUAAGGGUUUGUGAGACCCGCAGCCGGGGACAGAGCCUCUAUCCCGGGCUGUGGAGGUGAGUCAGGUCAGUGAAGCAUGAUGGGAAACUGAGCCUCGAUGGACCAGGAAAUAUCCCUCCUCUCUCUGAGGAAGCUGGCCGCAGAGCCUCAGUACUCAGACGUGUCGUUGCCCCCGGUGGAGAGGGUCCGCGCUCUGGGGAGGAUGGGGCGGAGCGUGCAGGUGGAGGUGGACCUUUCUCCACACCUGUACCUGCGCUGGGGGCGGGACAUGGAGCGCAUGGCCGCCGCCUACCACCAGGAGGAGCAGCUCGAGAACGCAUACGUGCUGUACAACAAAUUCAUCACUUUGUUUGUGGAGAAGCUUCCACUGCACAGAGACUACCACGAGUGCAGCUCCAGCCCUGAGAAGGUCUUUAUCAUGAAGAAACUUCAGGAGGUAGCGUUUCCUCGACGAGACGAACUCAAGAAAAAACUAGAGGAAAAGUACAACAGAGAGUAUGCAGGCUACCUCAAUAACAAGAGCCAAUCAGCAGCAGAAGUGCGUGACGAGCAGCAGCACCAACAAGCCUCCCCAUUGGCUGUCACUCCCGGCGCUCUCCUAUUGGCUGACGGCUCGUUGGGGCAGGGCCAGUGGCUGGAGCAGGAGCGGCGGCGCGUCGAUGACCUCAGACGGCGACAGAUCGAAUCAGAGCAGUUUAUACGGUUUGAAGAGCAGCUGAGGAGGCAGGAACGGGCCAAUCAGAGAGAGGAGGGGGCGGGACUACAGGCCAAUCUGAGAGAAGAGGGGGCAGGACCGCAUGAAUCGGCCAAUCAGGAAGAACAACAGGUGGCGCUCAGAGAUUCAGAUGUGACUGACGGUUCCUGUCUGUCCCAGCAGCAAAUCAGAGCCAGCGAGCAGCCUGAGGGGGCGGGGCAUAAAAGGACCAGAGCAGCUCCCGUCCAAUCUGCUGCCGCGCUGUCUGCAGUUCACUCUGAGCGGUUGGAAGGUCUGAGGCGGGUGGUGCUUCCUAGAGACCUGACUCUGAGAUUUCUGCGUUUGGCCGAAUCCAACACGAACCGAGGCCUGGAGACCUGUGGAGUGCUCUGCGGCAGACUGGCGCGAGAGGAGUUGGUGGUCACUCACGUUGUCGUUCCAAAGCAGACGUCAGGUCCAGACUUCUGUGACAUGGAGAAUGUUGAGGAACUGUUCUGCUUCCAGGAUCAACAGAACCUCCUGACGCUGGGCUGGAUCCAUACUCAUCCCACUCAGACGGCGUUCCUCUCGUCUGUCGACCUUCACACUCACUGCUCCUUUCAGCUCAUGCUCCCAGAGGCCAUCGCUGUAGUGUGUGCGCCCAGACACAACGAUUGUGCCGUGUUCAGACUCACUGGACCUGGGAUCUCUGCAGUAUCUCGCUGUCGACUUAAAGGAUUCCACCCUCACUCCAGAGACCCCCCUCUGUUCUCUGUGUGUAAACAUGUGCUUGUGAGGGAUUGUGCAGUGAUGUUGUUGGACCUCAGGUGACACACAGGGGGCGCUCUGUCUGUGCUCCACUGUGCCUCCUCCUCCACCUCCUCCUCCUCCACCUCCUCUACACCUGGACUCUGAGCUAAUGAGGGAUUUGGUUUAGACCUGGUUUUGUC
Periophthalmus magnuspinnatus is the source of this 1862-nucleotide RNA transcript. It is a transcript of the gene named STAM binding protein-like 1, with no coding region annotated. Lineage: Eukaryota; Metazoa; Chordata; Actinopteri; Gobiiformes; Gobiidae. The transcript is spliced from 13 exons. The record is from RefSeq and is a predicted model, not a curated record.